RNAcentral lists this ribosomal RNA (427 nucleotides) under uncultured bacterium. RNAcentral's name for it is "bacterial SSU rRNA". It matches the Rfam family "Bacterial small subunit ribosomal RNA", at positions 355 to 775 of the family's 1533-position model. The record is from RNAcentral.
UCGGGAAUUUUGGGCAAUGGGCGCAAGCCUGACCCAGCAACGCCGCGUGAAGGAUGAAAUCCCUCGGGAUGUAAACUUCGCAAGAAUGGGAAGAAGGUCGGAGGGUGAUAACCCCUUUUGGCUUGACGGUACCAUUUGUAAGCUCCGGCUAACUUCGUGCCAGCAGCCGCGGUAAUACGAGGGGAGCAAGCGUUGUUCGGAUUUACUGGGCGUAAAGGGCGCGUAGGCGGCUCUACAAGUCACUUGUGAAAUCUCCGGGCUUAACUCGGAACGGUCAAGUGAUACUGUCGAGCUAGAGUACAGAAGGGGCAACUGGAAUUCUCGGUGUAGCGGUGAAAUGCGUAGAUAUCGAGAGGAACACCUGCGGCGAAGGCGGGUUGCUGGGCUGAUACUGACGCUGAGGCGCGAAAGCCAGGGGAGCGAACGG